RNAcentral lists this ribosomal RNA (311 nucleotides) under uncultured soil bacterium. RNAcentral's name for it is "bacterial SSU rRNA". It matches the Rfam family "Bacterial small subunit ribosomal RNA", at positions 1163 to 1471 of the family's 1533-position model. The record is from RNAcentral.
CCGGAGGAAGGUGGGGAUGACGUCAAGUCCUCAUGGCCUUUAUGACUAGGGCUGCACACGUCCUACAAUGGCGCGCACAAAGCGAUGCAAACUCGCGAGAGCCAGCAAAUCGCAAAAAUCGCGCCCCAGUUCGGAUUGCAGGCUGAAACCCGCCUGCAUGAAGCCGGAAUCGCUAGUAAUCGCGGGUCAGCAUACCGCGGUGAAUGUGUUCCUGAGCCUUGUACACACCGCCCGUCAAGCCACGAAAAUGGGGGGCGCCCAAUAGCACUGUCGGAACCCGCAAGGGACCAAGGUGCCUAAGGCGAACUCCG